UCCUCGGCUGGAAGCACGAGGGCUUUUGUGUAAAGAGUGUGUGUGUGUGUGUGUGUGUGUGUGUGUGUGCGUUAGAACACAGUUUACAAAGUCUACACACUCAGAGUCCUGAUGCACUCACCCGGUCUUCAGCUGGAAAAAAGGCCUCCUCCGUCAGAGCCGCCUCAGAAACAUCCGACGGGGCUUUUGGUCUGAGACAGAAAGAAAAAGCCUUUGAGUUCGAUGGAGUUUGCGUGCAGAGAUGCUAACGAGCUAAUGAGCUAACCCGCUACACGUCGACUUAACAGGAGAAAAUGAGUCCGAGUCACCGGAACGCACCUCAUCGUUACACCUCGAUUCUACUUCCUGAGGGAAUACGGAAGCACUUGUUUUGUUGAAUGGAUCGUCAUAUUAAUCACAUGUGAUCUGAAUGAUUAAUGCGUUUACCUUUUGAUGUAAACCUCUUAUGUAAUAUAGUCAAAUUGUGUGGUGGGAGCCGUGCUUUUUAUAUCAUUAAAACUAAAUUAAAUGAUCUUUUGUUAACCUCCGUAGUUUAAUGAGACAGUUGUGGUCCAAGAGGACUCAUCCAGCGCUAACAUCCGUCUGCCCGACGGAGUCAUUUCAAACCAUCCGGACGGGAACGUCAACGGCUGCGCCGAAGCAGUCGGUCGGGACCAAGAUGGCCGACCGACAUCGCGUUAUUCAGAGAAAAGCUAAAGCCUCGUCGGCCCUUUCAGGGGCUUUGUGCACUCGUGUGUGUCCCACAAAGCUGGAAGCAAAACGCCAUUCUCCUAUCGACUUCCAGCAAACGACGUACAUCGAUUCGCUUCCUCUGCUCAGCUCCUUUUUCUUUUUCCAGUUAGUCGGUGAACUUUUAAAAAAGUCCAUCUGAUCUCCCCCGGUGCUCUGAUACAACGGGACGCCUCCAUCACCAGCAGCUCCAACAGGAAGCAAAGGGGCAGGACGGACCUGUGGGCGCAACGUCCCAUUCACACGGGUGGAGGACGGGGCAGAAGGAACAGGACGGGGUUUGUAGCGUUGCGGUGGACAAAGUGGACAAAGUGGAGGAGGGAGACGUGAACACGGGGAGGAGACAAAGACGCUGGUGGGCUUUUGUGAUGUGAUGCGCUGCAGCGUGAGAUGGGAAGAAGGAUGAACUGUAACCGAGAGCAGAGAGACGGAGACGAGAUGGAGCGGCUGAAAAACAGAUGGGACCCACACGCGCACACGCACACACACACACACACACACACACACACACGCCAUGCAUGCCUUUACUACACACAAAUAGGAAAUACGAACACUGUUGGAUCAAAGGGGCAGCUUCUCCUUUCUUGUUUUACAAAAGAUUUGUAUUAAUGCAAAAAUAAAUUCUACACGCGCACAAACGCACACAUGCACGCACACACACACACACACACACACACACACACACACACACACACCAAUGCAAACACUUUAUUCCGCUCAAGUAGCGUUCUGCUGAUUGCAUGCUCUCCCCGCGGGGAUUUCUACUCUCUAAAUAUAGUUUUUGCACGAUCAAUAUUAUUUCCACACACACAGACACACACACACACACACACACAGUGCUGCUUUAUCAGUUCUCACAUCCCACUUAGCCGAAGAAGAUCAGCGUUUCCUGAAGCCAAAUUCACGCUAACAUCCGAGAUCAGUGGAAGUUUUCGAGCCGCUUCAUUCGAUCGACUUGAGGAAAUCUGCUUUACGUGCUGUGUAGUUCUAAUUAAAACGCUGACACGACACGAUUUCAACUGAUCAUCAGAUGUUUCAGCAAAGUCGAAUCCCACCGAGCGCUCGGAGCCGUUUGAGCGAUGUCAUCGGAUGCCGAGGUUUCAGACGCUUCGGGGGGGGGGGGGGGGGGGCUGCCUAAGGAGGCCUCCCGGAUGAGCCCAUGAGAAGGUCACACUGAGCCCAGGUAGGGGGGUGAGCUCCUGUGAGGGUCGAUGGAGCUCGGUUGUUAGGGUGUGACGGGCCAUCCUUCUGCCUGGAUUUGAACAAUUAUACGUAAUAAUGCGCCAUAUUCUUCAGCGCUGAUCACAAUGCAAGAAAGUGGGGGAGGGAGAAAACUUCGACGAAAGGCUGCUGCUUAUCAGCUGAGAAAAUGAUAGUUUACGCUCACGGGAACGAUUUUGACAUUCUCACAAUCAACGGCACAAACAGCUCGCAGAUCUUCUGCCGCUUUGAGCACCGUCUCGUCACACUGGCUUUCUGGUUGCGGAAUGGCACGCGGCCCGAGUGUGACAGACACUUCCCGUCUCGUCUUCAUCAGAGACCCCCCCCUCUCAUCCUCAUCUCUAUCUCUUCUCUCUCUCGGCCCUCCUCGCCGUCGCUCCAUUGUUCCUCCAUUAAAACCCACGGCGACCCGCAUAACUGCCUCCAAUGACUCGGCCCUAAUGAAAAAAACACAUCGCAUUAGCGGCGUCACGCCGAGCCCCCCCCCCCCGGCCUCGGGACCAAAGCACAUAAGAUUCCCUGUCAGUGUCGGGGGGAGUCGGAUAACCCUCUGGGACCCGGUUCCAGACCCUGACCCGGCCCGCGUGAGGCUCGCCGUCUGCGUUCAAGUCAAACGGCGUCCACCGACACGUGGAUGUGUGACGCCUGGAGCAGCAGAGCGCGUGCCGGGCGAUUGUCGAGAGAGCGAGGAAAGGCUGAUGCAUUGAUGUGUUCAAAGGCUCUAACACACACAAUCACACACAACUUGGCGUCUAAAAGGCCGGCGUUGAACGUCAUGAAUGAAGAGAGAGAGCAGGACGAGCAUCAAAAGGAGGGAAAAAACAACCCCCGAGCUGGAGUCGGAUGCGAGGGAGACGAGCUGAAUGAGCCCAGCCGGCGGAACGCAGCAUCUGCAUCACAAAGCGACUUUCCAACGUCGGCGGCGCUUCAACGGCCCUCCGGUGCUCAUGAGGUUUGGCUCGAAGGCGUGGCGCGGAGCCGAAAUACACGCUCCACGGCGAUCCCUCCGCCGCCGCGUGCACAACACCACGUGGUCACCAGGCAGAAUGCGCUUCACGGGAUCGCAGGGUCGCCGCGGUGCAACGAGAAGGAGAGGAAGGUCACGCAGGGAAUGAAGAGAGCAGUUUUAGGAAUGAAGCGAGACUUUUCUAAUCCAUCUGUCCACACGGCAGAGUCACUCAAGUCCCACUUUUGAGUUCCAGUUUUUUCCAUUUCAGGUAAAAAGGAGCCCAUCUUCUUCCCGCCCCUCGGUUCCCUCCAUGAGUUCCUUAAUUAGCAGCGCGUCCGUCUCUCUUACGCUCGAUGCCUCCGAACUCUCCGCUGCCUCCUUCCUCAUUCUCUCAAUUCCUUCGUCCUUUUAAUCUCCCUGUUUGGUCACUUGCUCACACCGCCCCUCUCUGUCUUCUUUUGACGUUCAAACUCUGGAGGCAAAUCGCGUUCCAGUCAUGAGAGCACAUUUUGCGAGGAGCAAAUACGUUCUGAACUGCAUGUUUGCGUCACUUUGACCCGAUCCAUUUGGAUCGUUGGUAAGUUCACAUGAUUAACAGAAGGCGCGACACGACACACACGGCAGUCUGCUCAUUUAAUUAAAGCCGGAUUUUGCAUUUAGAUUGGAUUGGCAGAUUAGAGGAAAAAAAGGGGAAAUGUGCUGUUUUCAGUUUAGCAAAGCAUCAGCAGGAGCAGAACCAGCGGCUUCCUGGAGCUUCCUGAAGCUUCCUGAAGCUCCUCUUACACUGAACCCCCUAACCCCCUCACUGCAUCAAGCUUCAUUUUCAAAUGAGUCAGAAACUGAAUCCAUCAAAGGACGCGUUGCAUGAAGGAGCAUCUGGCAUUCGCCUCUUUUUACAAAUGAAACUCUUCAUCCGCACAGAGAUCCGAGCUCACGGUGCGUUCAGGCUCUCCUCAACAACCUUUAAAGUCAAACAUUUCUAUUUUUAUCACCGGGAUAUUGCCCUCGGAGAGCUAACAAAGCGUAGAAAAGCAGUGAUGAACAGGGACACAUUUAAUGAGCUUCCUUCAAAUUCAGGCAAAUUAAGUCACACGAACCCAGCGUCUCCGUUUCAUUUUGAACAACCUUUGAAAACGGGACCGGGAAGAUUUAUUCGUCACCUUGAAAACAGGAGUGUUUCUUUCCACCGCGCACCGAUACUCUGCAGCUUUUCAACGUACCAAGCAAACCGUGUUUUUUAGACCAGGCUGUUCCGACGGGGACAAAGAGGAACAAAGCACGUUCCACUAGAACUCUCCGUUAUUUCCACGCGAUGAAUUCCCCGUCAUCUUUAGCAGGUGUCGACUUUAAAUCUGGUGUCUUAGUUUGACUCGUUCUCUGCAAGCAGUGUGGCAUCAAAGCCCCGGGGGAACGCACAAGCUAGCUAGCCAGCUGUGCGCUAGUUAGCUAGCUAGGUCAACGUAGCAUAAAGCAUGGUGGGAUUAGCCAGCUCGCUAACUAGCUAACGCAGAGCAGCCUGCUGCAGGGGGGCCUUCGGGUGGACCAGGGACACUCAAAAGAAGGAAAAAAGAUGUACAGUUUCACAAGCGCACGUGUGUGUGUCUGUGUGUGUGUGUGUGGCACCAUCAAUGUGUGUAUGCGGUUUUUUUUCCAUUUAUCUCCUUUGUGGUUUCACUAAUGUUUGAAGAAGCUAUUUGAUUCACACUCGCUGGUUGCAGAUUAACGAUAAGGAAGAUUACACUGUCACAAUCUAUCAGCGCGUACCUGUGUGCGCGUGUGUCUGCGUGUGUGUGUGUGUGUGUGUGUGUGUGUGUGCGUUCGUACGCUUGGAGACAUGAGUUUCUUGUUCUCCCCCUCUUGCUCGGGCGUACGUGGCCCUGCAUGUGAACACCGUGUCGGUGUCUUUGUCUCUCCUCCGGGGGGGAGACCCCACCGACCGCCUGUCCCCGACUGAUCCGGCGUCCCACCGCCGGUGAGAGAGACGGACUGAGACGCAAGUGAGACGGGAAGCAGAAGGGAGAAAUGACGGAAAUGCGAACGGAGAAAAGACACGAGAGAAAGGAGAAGAGUUUGUGAUUUUAAUUCACGCAUAAACUGCCUCAGCAGAUGUCUCCGCUUUGCCAAAAACUGUCUCGUCAAGUGCAGCGAUUUAAGAUCCUGAUGUUCAGCGUCACCACAGCUGUUUGCAGCGUCGCGUCUGCAGCCAUUUUGUAAGAGCAGGUGCUGCAGACGUUUUUUGUUUUGUGUCUUUUUUUCUUUUUUCUGCUCUUCCCCAAAUGGUGUCUCUCGCUGUGAGCAGAGAGGACGGAGAAGCCGAAGAGGUGAGAGGGGGCGUAGGAGGGAGGCGGGGGAGACGGGAGCAGGCGGAGGGAGAGGCAGGAAAAUAAAGGGAUGGGU
Long non-coding RNA from Gasterosteus aculeatus aculeatus (three-spined stickleback), 5296 nucleotides. The record is from Ensembl. Lineage: Eukaryota; Metazoa; Chordata; Actinopteri; Perciformes; Gasterosteidae.